This 347-nucleotide long non-coding RNA is filed under the name Cicer arietinum (chickpea). RNAcentral's name for it is "long non-coding RNA (CARI_LNC000907)". The record is from RNAcentral. Lineage: Eukaryota; Viridiplantae; Streptophyta; Magnoliopsida; Fabales; Fabaceae.
CUGAAUUUUGUUUUUAAAGUUUCAAAUAGUUUAUUGCAGAAAUUGUAAGUUAAAAUUUCUACAUUUCUCAUCUUAAAAUCCUUCGAGGGCAUAGACCUACAUUUGUGUACUCAUUCUUUAUUUUUGUUAAAUAAUAGAUAUAUAUGUAUACUGCAACUAUUUAUGUCAACAUUAAAAGUAAUUUCAUAGAUGAGAGAGAAUCACAUAAAUGAGAAUCGGAACAAAACUUUAUCCCCACCCAUGCCAAAUUGGAAACCUUUUAUGAUUUAUUUUGGUGGAAUAAACAGGAAUUCUAAAAGAAAAUACAUACAUAAUCAUAAAAUUGCAAAUUAAAGCACAAGUAAAAG